AUGCUGAUCUGGCAUGGGAAAUAUCAUGAUCAAGCAAAACGUUUUUUUCUGGGCAAGUCUCUCUAUAAAACUCUGGGUGUGCUGAACCCUGUGAUUUACCCAAAGGUGGGAAACUCAGUUGUGUAAUCUGAGGUAGAAGGUGACUACAGUCACAUUUUAU
This is a small nuclear RNA of Mastomys coucha (southern multimammate mouse), 160 nucleotides long. RefSeq annotates it as U1 spliceosomal RNA. The transcript has a single exon. Lineage: Eukaryota; Metazoa; Chordata; Mammalia; Rodentia; Muridae. The record is from RefSeq and is a predicted model, not a curated record.